GGAAUAUUGGACAAUGGGCGAAAGCCUGAUCCAGCAAUGCCGCGUGAGUGAUGAAGGCCUUAGGGUUGUAAAGCUCUUUUACCAGGGAUGAUAAUGACAGUACCUGGAGAAUAAGCUCCGGCUAACUCCGUGCCAGCAGCCGCGGUAAUACGGAGGGAGCUAGCGUUGUUCGGAAUUACUGGGCGUAAAGCGUACGUAGGCGGUUAUUCAAGUCAGAGGUGAAAGCCUGGAGCUCAACUCCAGAACUGCCUUUGAAACUAGAUAGCUAGAAUCUUGGAGAGGUGAGUGGAAUUCCGAGUGUAGAGGUGAAAUUCGUAGAUAUUCGGAAGAACACCAGUGGCGAAGGCGACUCACUGGACAAGUAUUGACGCUGAGGUACGAAAGCGUGGGGAGCAAACAGGAUUAGAUACCCUGGUAGUCCACGCCGUAAACGAUGAUAACUAGCUGUUCGGGCUCUACGAGCUUGAGUGGCGCAGCUAACGCAUUAAGUUAUCCGCCUGGGGAGUACGGUCGCAAGAUUAAAACUCAAAGGAAUUGACGG
Molecule: ribosomal RNA, 541 nt
Filed under: uncultured bacterium
Lineage: Bacteria
Description: bacterial SSU rRNA
Rfam family: Bacterial small subunit ribosomal RNA
Source: RNAcentral